RNAcentral lists this ribosomal RNA (498 nucleotides) under uncultured Glomeromycotina. RNAcentral describes it as "partial small subunit ribosomal RNA". It matches the Rfam family "Eukaryotic small subunit ribosomal RNA", at positions 591 to 1092 of the family's 1831-position model. The record is from RNAcentral. Lineage: Eukaryota; Fungi; Glomeromycota.
CCAAUAGCGUAUAUUAAAGUUGUUGCAGUUAAAAAGCUCGUAGUUGAAUUUUAGGCCUGGCCGGGCGGUCCGUCUUUGGCGAGUACUGUCUUGUUGUCGGGUCUUCCUUCUGGUGCACCAGUAUGCCCUUUAUUGGGUGUGUUGGGGAGCCAGGACCAUUACCUUGAAAAAAUUAGCGUGUUUAAAGCGGGCUAUUGCUUGAAUCGAUUAGCAUGGAAUAAUAGAAUAGGACGUUGUGGUUCUAUUUUGUUGGUUUCUAGGACCACCGUAAUGAUUAAUAGGGAUAGUUGGGGGCAUUAGUAUUCAAUUGUCAGAGGUGAAAUUCUUGGAUUUAUUGAAGACUAACUACUGCGAAAGCAUUUGCCAAGGAUGUUUUCAUUAAUCAAGAACGAAAGUUAGGGGAUCGAAGACGAUCAGAUACCGUCGUAGUCUUAACCAUAAACUAUGCCGACUAGGAAUCGGGCGACGUUAUUUUCAUGACUCGCUCGGCGCCUUAUG